Molecule: ribosomal RNA, 473 nt
Filed under: uncultured bacterium
Lineage: Bacteria
Description: bacterial SSU rRNA
Rfam family: Bacterial small subunit ribosomal RNA
Source: RNAcentral
AUUGAACGCUGGCGGUAUGCUUAACACAUGCAAGUCGAACGGUAACAGGCCUUCGGGCGCUGACGAGUGGCGGACGGGUGAGUAACGCGUAGGAAUCUGCCUCAUAGUGGGGGACAACGUGGGGAAACUCACGCUAAUACCGCAUACGCCCUACGGGGGAAAGCGGGGAUCUUCGGACCUCGCGCUAUGAGAUGAGCCUGCGUUAGAUUAGCUAGUUGGUAGGGUAAAGGCCUACCAAGGCGACGAUCUAUAGCUGGUCUGAGAGGACGAUCAGCCACACUGGGACUGAGACACGGCCCAGACUCCUACGGGAGGCAGCAGUGGGGAAUAUUGGACAAUGGGCGCAAGCCUGAUCCAGCAAUGCCGCGUGGAUGAAGAAGGUCUUCGGAUUGUAAAGUCCUUUCGGCGGGGACGAUGAUGACGGUACCCGCAGAAGAAGCCCCGGCUAACUUCGUGCCAGCAGCCGCGGUAAU